This 1097-nucleotide ribosomal RNA is filed under the name uncultured bacterium. Its description in RNAcentral is "16S ribosomal RNA". It matches the Rfam family "Bacterial small subunit ribosomal RNA". The record is from RNAcentral.
AGAGUUCGAUCAUGGCUCAGAUUGAACGCUGGCGGCAUGCCUUACACAUGCAAGUCGAACGGCAGCGCGGGAGCAAUCCUGGCGGCGAGUGGCGAACGGGUGAGUAACGCAUCGGAACGUGUCCUGUAAUGGGGGAUAACCAGUCGAAAGAUUGGGUAAUACCGCAUACGCUCGAGAGAGGAAAGUGGGGGAUCGCAAGACCUCACGUUAUAGGAGCGGCCGAUGUCCGAUUAGCUAGUUGGUGAGGUAAAGGCUUACCAAGGCGACGAUCGGUAGCUGGUCUGAGAGGAUGAUCAGCCACACUGGGACUGAGACACGGCCCAGACUCCUACGGGAGGCAGCAGUGGGGAAUUUUGGACAAUGGGCGAAAGCCUGAUCCAGCCAUGCCGCGUGCAGGAAGAAGGCCUUCGGGUUGUAAACUGCUUUAGUCUAGGAAAAAGGAUGCUUGGAUAAUACCCAAGUGUUUUAAUGGUACUGNAAGAAUAAGCACCGGCUAACUACGUGCCAGCAGCCGCGGUAAUACGUAGGGUGCAAGCGUUAAUCGGAAUUACUGGGUGUAAAGCGUGCGCAGGCGGUUUGUUAAGACAGUUGUGAAAGCCCCGGGCUUAACCUGGGAACUGCAAUUGUGACUGGCAAGCUAGAGUGUGGCAGAGGGGGGUGGAAUUCCACGUGUAGCAGUGAAAUGCGUAGAGAUGUGGAGGAACACCGAUGGCGAAGGCACAAACCGGAGGAAGGUGGGGAUGACGUCAAGUCCUCAUGGCCCUUAUGGGUAGGGCUACACACGUCAUACAUCGGUCGGUACAAAGGGUUGCCAACCCGCGAGGGGGAGCUAAUCUCAUAAAGCCGAUCGUAGUCCGGAUCGUAGUCUGCAACUCGACUGCGUGAAGUCGGAAUCGCUAGUAAUCGUGGAUCAGCAUGUCACGGUGAAUACGUUCCCGGGUCUUGUACACACCGCCCGUCACACCAUGGGAGUGGAAUCCGCCAGAAGUGGGUGGCCUAACCGCAAGGGGGGCGCUCACCACGGUAGGUUUCAUGACUGGGGUGAAGUCGUNACAAGGUAGCCGUAUCGGAAGGUGCGGCUGGNUCACCUCCUUUCU